UACGUAGGGGGCGAGCGUUGUCCGGAAUUAUUGGGCGUAAAGAGCGUGUAGGCGGCCCGGCAAGUCCGCCGUGAAAGUCCGAGGCUCAACCUCGGGAUGCAGGUGGAAACUGUCGGGCUUGAGUUCGGAAGAGGCGAGUGGAAUUCCCGGUGUAGCGGUGAAAUGCGCAGAUAUCAGGAGGAACACCAAUGGCGAGGGCAGCUCGCUGGGACGACACUGACGCUGAGACGCGAAAGCGUGGGGAGCAAACAGG
RNAcentral lists this unclassified non-coding RNA (253 nucleotides) under uncultured Solirubrobacterales bacterium. RNAcentral describes it as "contains 16S-23S intergenic spacer region". It matches the Rfam family "Bacterial small subunit ribosomal RNA", at positions 524 to 776 of the family's 1533-position model. Lineage: Bacteria; Bacillati; Actinomycetota; Thermoleophilia; Solirubrobacterales. The record is from RNAcentral.